RNAcentral lists this ribosomal RNA (253 nucleotides) under uncultured bacterium. Its description in RNAcentral is "partial 16S ribosomal RNA". It matches the Rfam family "Bacterial small subunit ribosomal RNA", at positions 524 to 776 of the family's 1533-position model. The record is from RNAcentral.
UACGAAGGGGGCUAGCGUUGCUCGGAAUCACUGGGCGUAAAGCGCACGUAGGCGGCUUGUUAAGUCGGGGGUGAAAUCCUGGAGCUCAACUCCAGAACUGCCCUCGAUACUGAUGAGCUCGAGUCCGGGAGAGGUGAGUGGAACUGCGAGUGUAGAGGUGAAAUUCGUAGAUAUUCGCAAGAACACCAGUGGCGAGGGCGGCUCACUGGCCCGGUACUGACGCUGAGGUGCGAAAGCGUGGGGAGCAAACAGG